Molecule: long non-coding RNA, 2002 nt
Organism: Triplophysa rosa
Lineage: Eukaryota; Metazoa; Chordata; Actinopteri; Cypriniformes; Nemacheilidae
Exons: 4
Source: RefSeq, a predicted model, not a curated record
GGAUGUUUUGAUUUGAUUUCUCUUCCGGUGACUCGUGACGUGAAUAGUCUCGCGAUAUUUGAUGUUAUGCUAUGGGUCUGCGCGCAGCGUCGCGUGAAGCUCUGAGGCCUGAACCGCAGCGGGGUUUUUUAUACUUUCGCAUAAGAUAUGUAUACAAGGUUGACUGAAGAAAGUACAAUAUACAUCAAACAGAUUGCAGAUGUAGAAUCUAUAGAUAUACUAGCAGAGGUUAACAGAUCCACACUAACCAGUGAUACUCUGAGCUUCACACACAAAUCAUUGACGUGACUGCAUGAAUCGUGAUGGUUUUUUGUGGAUAAAAUGUAAGCGUUUUGUUGUUUCGGGUUCCAAGGUUUUUUUUUUCAACUUAAUCCCGUAACAUUACUGGUCAAUGUAUGAAAACACACUCUUCACAGUUUCGUAUGAGCCUGAGUUUGUGUGUUACCUGCAUCUUACCAUGGUGAAAUGACACACACAUACAUCUAGGGCUGUCACGAUAAACCGACGAUAAAUAUCAGGUGAUUUAUGCACAGCUUGAAGUACGGUAAAAUGCUGCUGCAUCCGAAAGCCAGAGGGCGCGCUCGUGCGGAAACUCCAAAUACGCACUGCAGAAGAAGACCAUGACACCUUCUAGAAUCUAGGAAAUGCCUAUGGACAUCUUUUAUCACUGUUACUCAAGCCUCAUCAGAGAUAAAAAUGGAUUUUGACAUUGGAAGACCACUCAUUUCUGCGUCAAACAUCAGGCCUGCUUCACAGAUAGAGAUAUUCUGCAGGUUAAGUCUAUUGUUGGUUAAAAUGAAGAAUACAAGCCAAGCCUCCUGGCUGUCUCAGACUUCUUCAGACAUUUCAUCUGAGGGAAGGGGUAAUAUUGUGAUCCUGCAGGUGUGGGACAGGACCGAUAGCUCCCAAAACUCAGCUGACGGGACAGACGUGCAGGCGAGGACAUCUUUCUGGAGCUCAGGCCGCUGCUGGUCAUUGACGUGCUGUUGUUGAGACUGUGGUUUCUGUCGCAGGUGUCCGAGUCCUGAGAUACAUACUCUCUUAAAUCUGUGCUGGAGUCAUCGGUGGACACAGUAUCAUCUGUGACAUCAUCACUGAAGUCUGACGUGUGACUGGCAUGUUCGGUGCUGUUGGAUGCGUGUGUCAUGCGGUACACAUCCAGGAGUGCGAUGUCCAUCCGAAUGUCCAUGCUGCUCGGAUCUUCGUCUGCUGAGAAAGAUUUCCUCUUAUCUCUCCAAACCUCUGCACACACCAGACAUGAACCGCAACAACAUGACAACAUCCUGAUAACUGCUUUUAUUAAAGCAUGAUCAUAAACACAGCUUGAUAUAUUCCCAGCUGGAGAGUCCUGCAGCUGCACUAUGUGUUUUGUGGGCAUUGCCAGCCAGAGUUGGGACAAAGUGCAAACAAAAGUGUCAUUCAAGGUUGUUCUUGAGUUUGCAAGGAGCAGAUCAAGUAGAUCAGAUUAUUUGUAUUUAUAGGAGAAACAAUCAUAUUAUUAAUGCAAAAGUGGAAUUUUAGGAAGACUUUGUUGGUUCAUUUUUACUUGCAUUGCAGAAUUAGUGCUUUGCAUUCAUUUCAAAUGAAAAAUUAGUUAAAUGUUGUGUUUUGUUAUAAAAAUACAGGUUUUGUGUGAGUCCAGCUAAACUGUUGACUUUACAUAUCAGGUAAAAUAAAAUUUGGUUGGAAAGUAACUAAGCUGUGCAGUUUUAGCUCGUGUGUGUUUCUGAGUGUACGUCAGCAUGUUUACACAGUAUUGUUGACAGUAGGUGAGGUGAACAAACAUUCUCAAUCAUUCUAAUGGUUGCCUCAUUUUGUUGAGUUAAGGAUUUAUUUGCUAAUGUCAUUUUUUUAUGAAUUGCUCCCAGUAUGAAAAAUAAAGUAAUAUGCAAUGCUAUACAUUGCUUUCAUUUUACAUCUCCAUUUUAAUAUAAUGCUGAUCAAUAUGCUAUUUUAUUCAACAGAGAUCAAUAAAACACUGUCAGGAAAUGUAUGAAGUGAA